Molecule: non-coding RNA, 3340 nt
Organism: Macaca mulatta (Rhesus monkey)
Lineage: Eukaryota; Metazoa; Chordata; Mammalia; Primates; Cercopithecidae
Source: RefSeq, a predicted model, not a curated record
UCACUUGAGGCCAGGAGUUUGAGACCAGCCUCACCAACAUGUGAGAACAUUUAACAGUCUACUCGGUGAUUUUCAAGUUUAUGACACAUGUUGUUAACUGUGGUCGUCAUGUUGUACAAUAGACCUGGAACUUACUCCUCCUGUCUCACUGAAAGACUGAAAACAUCCCAGUCCAACAACAACAAAAAGUACAGAUUUUCUGUCUUAAAUUCACUAGACCAUCUUUCAACAGACCUUGACUGUCAGAUUUAGGUUCAUCUGAUAAAUUAGGCCAACAGGAUUUUGUCUUCUGUGAAAGGAAUCUGCCUCGUGGACAGCAUCCCGCAGCCAGGAACAAGGGUGCAGGUGGCUGCUGGGCAGGGGAACAGAGGAGGCACACUAAAAGGCCUUCCCUCCUCACUCAGCACCUUUCCCACCUCCAUCCUGCAACCUGCGUGUUCUGUUCUACUGAGCCCUGUCAGUGUCCUCUCCCACUGAGCCCUGUCAGCGUCCUCUCCCUGUGUCUGAGGCUCAUCCCUCUGGCUGGACACACAUUCUUUGCCAGGACUCAGAGAAUCAAUCCUCAAACACUCAGUUCAGCACCUUGCACAAAGUACAAGCUCAAAAAAUACUUACAGAACAGUUGAAGUACAGAUACUCAUUUCAACAUGUGCACUGCCAGGAUUGACAGUGCCCAGGACUGUUUUGUGAUGGUCUUAAUUUUCUAGCUAAGAAACGUCGUGCACAGAAAAACCUCUCUUCACUGUAAUUCGUGGUGGAUCACAGAAUGCAGAGACAAUCGUGGCCAUGAGAGAGCUUGGGUAGAGGUGACUUUACCAAGGAUUUGCAAGUCCCCUGCCCAGGCUGACUCAGGAGCUCAGAUGUUCUUCCCUGGGAACUACCUGCAUAGCCAUAGGCAGUCCCCAGAUCAGAGCCAAAGCAUUCCUCAUCACAAAAGCAGGAAGUAGUAUUCUGCAACCUGGAAGAAGGCUGAUACGAUCAGGACUGAAAAACUAGGGGAGAGCAGAACUCUCUAGAUCCUCUGCAAACUGCUGGAUCGAAUGAGCUUGGUGUGGAGGUGGGAGAAUGCUAAAAACACAAGUGGCUGCAGCUGGUCUCCACAGAGAUCAUGGAGGAGCUCUGCUGAUGGUUCAGAAGAGAGUCUGGGAAAGGGAUGGGCUGACGGAAUUGCAAACCCUCAAGCCCUAAUGCACCUCUGAUUUUGUGCCAGAGCCCAGGUGGUUACAUCUUGCAGGGUUGGUUUGUUUUGUAUAUUUCUUACACAGAAGAUCAGAUUCUUCCUCCUGCUCAAAUGACAAAGCUGAGCCCCAUUUGUUCUGGUGACAGGAUCCAGAGCAGUGACCAAAGAUAAAGCACUGAGAGUGGAGACAAAGGCUUGUCUCUCCAGGAGACACUGUGAUUUGGGGAAAGUCAAUGAAGCCCACAUACCAAGUGGAAUCUAUUGCCAGGUCAAAGUGACAAUUCUUGCAGAUAGAACCUGGCCACAGAUUCUCUAACGCUUACUCUCUCCAGCAUUCGAUUUGCCUCAUAACGCAGUAGACAGAAACGUGGGAAAGACAGGUGUUAGGCUUGCCAGUCACAUGAGUCCCUUGGGAUAUUAGCAAACAGAAUGCAGAAAGUGGUGUUGGUGGCUCUUCCUUAGGAAAGAGUUAGUGAUUCGGGGCAAAGCAGAACGUUUCUUUUUUCCUGUUUGUUCUAUUUAAUGCAGUCAGCUCAUGAUGAUCCCAACUGAGAGCCAGACUGGAUGAGAAAGCAUGCCGAAUCAGGCGGGAAGGAAAGCGGCUGUGACUGAGUCAUUUAUCACAGGGACGACCCUCUGUCAAGGCUGGCAUCCUGCCUGCCUCUGUCAGGGAAGCCAACAGGGUGCAUAGAAGGGCCAGCUGGGUGUUUGCUUCUGAAAGCUUCGAGUCCUUUCUGGAGACCUCAUGGUGUUCUGUCUGAGCUCUUGUUCCUCUACUUUUCCUUGGAUCUCACAGGGAAACAAAUCAUCAGUGUCUUAUUUCCCGUCUAUUUUAUCCUCUCCCCUUUUGACUUAAACGAACAAGUUCAGUGAAGAGCCUGUCCCCAGCACUCCCCACCAACCUGCACUCACCUUAGAACACUAGCAGCAGCGCUGACCAGCUGCUGCUGGACUCACCAUUACAAAUAAUAAAACAUAAGGCUCUGCUCCCUGACACAGAUUUCCAGGCCUGAAACUUUGUGAACAGAAAGCCGCUGCACACCAGACCAGUGACUUUGGUUUUCCCCUCCCAGUUCCAUAGCUGUGUGUUCCUAAUGGACGCUCUGGGUAGAUAAAUGCCCUGUGAUCAAGAAGAGGCCAAUCCAGGGAUAAGACGAAUGUCUAGUGUGCUGGGAGGAACGUUUAGUCGCUUCUUGGUAGGCUCUCCUUUCACCUGCUGUUCUAUUUUACAGGCCACUUACAUCCUAUUGCAAUCAAUAGACACAUCAGCACGUUCCGCUGCAACCGGGCACAUUGGCAAUCUGGGAGGUGGGCUCCCAGAGGUCCCUGGCAUGGUGCAUUAGGCAGUGGGCCAGCAGGUUCCCAUCCGAGGAAGCUCUCCAUCUCAUUAGUUUCUCCCUGUACAGCAAAACGCACGGCCAUCUAGGUUACAGCAAUCAGGGCAGAAUUGCUUGCAGUUGUGAUGGGAGAGGCACUAGAUUUCAGAGACUUUAGACAAUGCCAUUCUGUGAACUGUGGCGUUUUAAAGCGGGGCGAAUGCAGAGAUGGGAAGUGGGUUUAUCCAGCUCAGAGGUUUUGGUUCUCACUCCUUUGUUCUGAAGGGGAAGCUGAGAAAUUCUUCCAGGUGUCAGCCUUAGAUCAUCAACAAUCCCAGGGAAGCUCUUCUCUUGGCUGAACAGCAAAACAUAACACGUUCCAGGAAUAAGCAGAAAAUGUAUUUUGCUCUGCUUCAAAUCCUAGUAGGGGCUUUAAAAGUCAAAUAGGAUUUGAGAGCCAAGAAAUCUUUUUAUCUGUAAAGUUAACAAACUGGGCCUGAGACUAAGAUGUUGAAAUGCCCAUGGUGUCUGGGCGUAUAUGGAUGGAUAAGGCAUAAAUUGCUUCACAAGACUAUUAUCGAUCUUACCAUUCAUUCAAUCUUCAGUGGAUCAUUCGUUUUCUUAAUUGGAAGAAAGCUGGGGAACCAAAUGGGUAGAUGACAGUCGGGCUUAACGUUCAUGGACACGGUAAUUGAUUUCUACGAAUUCCUCAGCUCAACUCAACACAUUGAGAAUGUACUCAAUUGCAGCCACUGUGCUAGGUUUGUGAUUGGUUCUUGAAAUCUCCUGGAUUAUGACUUGGCAGGAGAGGGGUAAACAGGCACUUAAACACAUGAUUUAAACA